Non-coding RNA from Schistosoma curassoni, 77 nucleotides. The record is from Rfam. Lineage: Eukaryota; Metazoa; Platyhelminthes; Trematoda; Strigeidida; Schistosomatidae.
AGCUUCUAAAUCCGUGCCGAGAUUUCGUCGAACACUAACCCACUAGGGCUGGUGAGACUUCCUAGAUAAAUGUAGUG